GGCCUGGCUGGCCGGUCCGCCUCACCGCGUGUACUGGUCUGGCCGGGCCUUUCCUUCUGGAGAACCUCAUGCCCUUCAGUGGGUGUGUUGGGGAACCAGGACUUUUACUUUGAAAAAAUUAGAGUGCUCAAAGCAGGCAUUUUGCUUGAAUAUAUUAGCAUGGAAUAAUGGAAUAGGACG
Molecule: ribosomal RNA, 180 nt
Filed under: uncultured Glomeromycotina
Lineage: Eukaryota; Fungi; Glomeromycota
Description: partial small subunit ribosomal RNA
Rfam family: Eukaryotic small subunit ribosomal RNA (bases 88-180)
Source: RNAcentral